CCCUCCCUCCUCACCCCCACCCCGGCAGCCAGCACUCCAACCCAGAUGGUCGGGCCUGAGGCAGCUCUCUCCCUGUGCUUCCUCUCCCUGCCCUGACCCAGAAAUGCUGCCAAGCUCCAGGUGGGCCCCUGCCCCUCCUUCUCCAGGCCCGGGCCUGGGGCUGAGGCUCCGGGUCUCUGGGCUUCUUCCUCCCCUUCCAGUUGACGGGCCCAGACAGCUCCACACCCACUGGGUAACCAGAGGGGGUGGCAUAUGGUCCCAGUGUGAGGUCAGAAAGCCCCCUCCCUUCCCAGCAGGCCUGCCUGGUCAUCUGUGAACCACUUCAUGGCUGGCACUGGCCUGGGUUCCGGUCGGGAAGGGCCUUGCUCAAUCCUUGCAGAUCCCACAGAGGAGGACAGAUGAACAGGCUCAGUAGCCAGCUCCUAGGGAGCUCCCACGUAAGUGGGGUGCUGAACGAGUACAGGAUUGGGGAAGGGCAGGGGCCUCACCUGUCUUGUUACAGCCAAGUCUCCAUUGCACAGAAGCCCGGCGUCCCAUUACCGCUGGGUGGAUGAGGUGAAUAGAGGGAGCUGGGCUCAAAGCCCCUAUUCUUUCCUCAAGAAGGGCAGCUAUGGGAUCAGAGGCAAGUCACUUCACCUCUCUGGGCCAGGCUCUCCUCCAUGUGACAUGCAGACAGCGCGCUACAGAGUCUCCUUUCAGAUCGCAGCCCGGAACCAUCAGAGGCCAGGCCGUAAGUCCUGACGACCCUGGAGCUGGCACAGAAUAAAUGGAUGGACGAAUA
Molecule: long non-coding RNA, 781 nt
Organism: Canis lupus familiaris (dog)
Lineage: Eukaryota; Metazoa; Chordata; Mammalia; Carnivora; Canidae
Exons: 2
Source: RefSeq, a predicted model, not a curated record